This 453-nucleotide ribosomal RNA is filed under the name uncultured Anoxybacillus sp. Its description in RNAcentral is "bacterial SSU rRNA". It matches the Rfam family "Bacterial small subunit ribosomal RNA", at positions 929 to 1382 of the family's 1533-position model. Lineage: Bacteria; Bacillati; Bacillota; Bacilli; Caryophanales; Anoxybacillaceae. The record is from RNAcentral.
GCGGUGGAGCAUGUGGUUUAAUUCGAAGCAACGCGAAGAACCUUACCAGGUCUUGACAUCCCUGACAACCCGAGAGAUCGGGCGUUCCCCUUCGGGGGACAGGGUGACAGGUGGUGCAUGGUUGUCGUCAGCUCGUGUCGUGAGAUGUUGGGUUAAGUCCCGCAACGAGCGCAACCCUCGACCUUAGUUGCCAGCAUUCAGUUGGGCACUCUAAGGUGACUGCCGGCUAAAAGUCGGAGGAAGGUGGGGAUGACGUCAAAUUAUCAUGCCCCUUAUGACCUGGGCUACACACGUGCUACAAUGGGCGGUACAAGGGGUCGCGAACCCGCGAGGGGGAGCCAAUCCCAAAAAGCCGCUCUCAGUUCGGAUUGCAGGCUGCAAUUCGCCUGCAUGAAGUCGGAAUCGCUAGUAAUCGCAGGUCAGCAUACUGCGGUGAAUACGUUCCCGGGCCUU